GAGUGGCGGACGGGUGAGUAACACGUGGGUAACCUGCCCUUAAGUGGGGGAUAACAUUUGGAAACAGAUGCUAAUACCGCAUAGAUCCAAGAACCGCAUGGUUCUUGGCUGAAAGAUGGCGUAAGCUAUCGCUUUUGGAUGGACCCGCGGCGUAUUAGCUAGUUGGUGAGGUAACGGCUCACCAAGGCGAUGAUACGUAGCCGAACUGAGAGGUUGAUCGGCCACAUUGGGACUGAGACACGGCCCAAACUCCUACGGGAGGCAGCAGUAGGGAAUCUUCCACAAUGGACGCAAGUCUGAUGGAGCAACGCCGCGUGAGUGAAGAAGGCUUUCGGGUCGUAAAACUCUGUUGUUGGAGAAGAAUGGUCGGCAGAGUAACUGUUGUCGGCGUGACGGUAUCCAACCAGAAAGCCACGGCUAACUACGUGCCAGCAGCCGCGGUAAUACGUAGGUGGCAAGCGUUAUCCGGAUUUAUUGGGCGUAAAGCGAGCGCAGGCGGUUUUUUAAGUCUGAUGUGAAAGCCCUCGGCUUAACC
Molecule: ribosomal RNA, 535 nt
Filed under: Lacticaseibacillus paracasei
Lineage: Bacteria; Bacillati; Bacillota; Bacilli; Lactobacillales; Lactobacillaceae
Description: bacterial SSU rRNA
Rfam family: Bacterial small subunit ribosomal RNA
Source: RNAcentral